UGAUCCCAAGGAAGGAAUGAUGUUCCAAUGGAAAUCCAAGAAAAGGAUUCUGAGCCUCAGCGUUUUGAAGGAGACGCUUGGUCCCUGACCUUCCUUGAGGCAAA
This is a small nucleolar RNA of Carlito syrichta (Philippine tarsier), 104 nucleotides long. Ensembl annotates it as small nucleolar RNA, C/D box 124. Its record names the gene SNORD124. Lineage: Eukaryota; Metazoa; Chordata; Mammalia; Primates; Tarsiidae. The record is from Ensembl.